GAUCGAGUUGUAAUUUGAAGAAGCGUUUUCUGCGUAUUUGGUCAGCCUAAGUCCUAUUGAAUGAGGCAUCAUGGAGGGUGAUAAUCCCGUCCGGUUGAUCAUUUGCGUUUUACGAUACGCUUUCUAAGAGUCAAGUUGUUUGGGAUUGCAGCUUAAAAUGGGAGGUAAAUUUCUCUUAAGGCUAAAUGGGCGGCGAGAGACCGAUAGCGAACAAGUACC
RNAcentral lists this ribosomal RNA (219 nucleotides) under Rhizophagus intraradices. RNAcentral's name for it is "partial 25S large subunit ribosomal RNA". It matches the Rfam family "Eukaryotic large subunit ribosomal RNA", at positions 136 to 352 of the family's 3401-position model. Lineage: Eukaryota; Fungi; Glomeromycota; Glomeromycetes; Glomerales; Glomeraceae. The record is from RNAcentral.